RNAcentral lists this transfer RNA (73 nucleotides) under Pseudomonadota bacterium. Its description in RNAcentral is "Proteobacteria bacterium tRNA-Met". It matches the Rfam family "tRNA". Rfam says of the family: Transfer RNA (tRNA) molecules are approximately 80 nucleotides in length. Their secondary structure includes four short double-helical elements and three loops (D, anti-codon, and T loops). Further hydrogen bonds mediate the characteristic L-shaped molecular structure. tRNAs have two regions of fundamental functional importance: the anti-codon, which is responsible for specific mRNA codon recognition, and the 3' end, to which the tRNAs corresponding amino acid is attached (by aminoacyl-tRNA synthetases). tRNAs cope with the degeneracy of the genetic code in two manners: having more than one tRNA (with a specific anti-codon) for a particular amino acid; and 'wobble' base-pairing, i.e. permitting non-standard base-pairing at the 3rd anti-codon position. The record is from RNAcentral. RNAcentral also lists the same sequence under 2 other names. Lineage: Bacteria; Pseudomonadati; Pseudomonadota.
GGGGGUAUAGCUCAGCGGUUAGAGCAGCCGGCUCAUAACUGGUUGGUCCCUGGUUCAAAUCCAGGUGCCCCUA